Monomorium pharaonis (pharaoh ant) is the source of this 730-nucleotide long non-coding RNA. RefSeq lists it as uncharacterized. The record is from RefSeq and is a predicted model, not a curated record. Lineage: Eukaryota; Metazoa; Arthropoda; Insecta; Hymenoptera; Formicidae. The transcript has 2 exons.
UGUGUCCAAGAUCUGUGCAAGAGAGAAAGGUAUAUCAUGAUACUCGCUUUCUCUGCGCAUGCGUUAAUAUCAUUAUCUGCAUCGCAGUUUCAACAUUUCUUGUGCACUUUUGUAUUUAUUUACGGAUUGUAUGUGUGUGUAAAACAUACAAUGCCAGCCAUUGUACAUAUAGCGUUUGACGCAUGCGCAGAGAGAGCAAGUAUCAUGAUAUACCUUUCUCUCUCGCACAGGGGGUCUAUUACAGUUCUUGGGUGAGCUCAUUCCACUGAUCUCAUUAAAGUGGAUAUGGCAUAGGACGAAAUAAGUGUGACCAAUUGAAGGUUGUAGUCUUUGUACACAAUAUGGCGGUGUAUACAAAUACGAACACAGUUUACUGUGACGAUGAUACAAAAUUCCACGUGUAAUUAAUUAUCUAUAGACGUAGAUGUGUAGCAGUUUUAUCCAAAAUAUUACUUUUUUUAUAAUAAAAAUAGUAAAAUAGUAAAAUAGUGAGAUUCCAAAAUUAAAAAAUGUGUUUAUUGUGGAAAAGGAAGUGAAAAUAAACAACAAACGUUUCAUAACUGCAAGUAUGGAUUACUACAACACAAUUAAGGACACGAGGACAAAAUAAGCUAUAACAAUAUUCUUUAAACUUAUUUAUAAGUUUAGUAGUAGUAGUAUUAUUUAUUAGUAAAAUUAUUUAACAAGAUGGUCAUAAAUAAAAAUUUACGAUUUUUAGACACCUGCAAAA